This is an RNA transcript of Drosophila obscura, 5031 nucleotides long. It is a transcript of the gene named syndecan, with no coding region annotated. The transcript has 10 exons. NCBI's taxonomy places the organism in Eukaryota, Metazoa, Arthropoda, Insecta, Diptera, Drosophilidae. The record is from RefSeq and is a predicted model, not a curated record.
CUUUUCUUACCAAACGAACGCAUAAAGCGGACUCGAAAAAAAUUACUGAAUGUCGUCGGUCGGUGAUUGCGCAUUCUCUCUGUGUGUGUUUUUCCCCCCCAUCCAACGAGUGUAAAGAAAUUUUUGGAACAAUUUAUAGCCGACACGCGUUGUAAUUGUAAUUGGAGAAUCUGUGGAAAUACGCCCGGCGUAUUCUGUGCAAUAUAUUUAAUUAAAAGAAGUGUAAAACCAGUUUAUUGAAGAUCGUAACAAGAUCGUGAAUCGGAGAAAUAUUCAUAGUGCAUUUAUUUGUGUGUCUAGUUCCGCCCGCCCCUCCACAUAUCAAUAAACAUAAACUGGAAGAUCUUUCCAGCCGCUGCUCCCAUCAUCUAAAGUAAGCGACGUCGACGUUGACGCCGACGCCCACGACUCCACUGAGAGAAGAAUGAUGCCAAAGCAGAGGACCAGCACGCUGACGGCGACGUUGUCGUUGCGUUGCAACGGUAAAUGUCUGAUGCUCUCCGCACUGCUGAUGGGCCUCCUGGUGGCCGCCACCCAAGCCGUUGAUCAGAAAACUGUGAAAGCAUCGGCUGCAGAGCCAUCCGCUCUAUCAGGAGGAGCAGCAUCCCCGGCGGCUUCGGGUCCCAGAGAUGCAAUUUAUAUCGACGAUGAUAGCAUUGAGGGCUCUGGCGGACAUGGAGGGAUACACGACGAUCUAGAGAAGGAUCCGGACUAUUCUGGCUCUGGCUUUGGACCGGAUGACGAGGACGCCGAGCCGGACCAUCGCCCGACACACGGUUCGCACAAUACACGCAUAUCGCAGAGUGGCGGCUCCAGCAUAAAUACAGCUCAUACACCAACCCAAACCUCAUCCACAACCUCAACAACAACAAGCAGUUCACCAGUAACGACAACCGGCAGCAGCAGCAGUACCACCACAAGCACCACGACAACAGCGGCCACAACUACUUCCACCACAGCCGCCACGAAUCGCACCCAAACCACGCCUAUGCCCAUUGUUCUCGAAUCCUCUACAGCGAGCCGUCCUUUGCCACACUUCCCUGCCUUCGAUGAGGAUGAAGAUCUCGAUGUGGAGGCGGAGGCCAGCGGCGAUGUCAUCGAUGUGGAAAGAGGCGGCGAGGGCGAUGACGAGGGCGAAGACGAAGACGAGGGCGACAUUAUCAUUGAUCAUCCCGAGCCCGAGAAGCCGAAGCUUGCAGAGCCCGUUCCCGCUGGGCCAAAGGAUAACGAUGGCGAUAUCGAUAGCGAAGAUGGUGAUGGUGGUAAUGACACUGAUGAUGAUGAUCGCAUCAUCGAUGUGGAUGGCGGCAAUGAGGAUAGAAAUGGAAAUGGAAUCGGUGGCAACGAUGGAGACCUCAACACAGAGCGCGGACCGGGAGGCGGCAGCAACGUGCACGAGUUGGACCCGAACACGAACGUGAACAGCCAGCCCUCCGACACGAAGCCCGUCGACCACAGGCCCAACGGCAACGAGGUGGUCAUCAUGAGCGAGGACGAUCGCACGUCGAGCUUCUUCUCGCAGCCAGGAAUACUGGCAGCUGUCAUUGGCGGUGCCGUGGUUGGCCUGCUCUGCGCCAUUCUCGUGGUAAUGUUCAUCGUGUACCGCAUGCGGAAAAAGGACGAGGGCUCCUAUGCCCUCGACGAGCCCAAGCGCUCGCCGGCCAACAAUUCCUAUGCGAAAAAUGCGAACAAUCGCGAGUUCUACGCCUGAGAUAAUGGCACAUCGCGCAGGUAUUAAGUGAGCCAUGAGUGAGGAUCCACCCGGAUGGAGAUCCAUCUCGAACGGGAUCAGGAUCAGAACGCAGAAGGAGAUGACGGCUCAUCUAGAUACACUGUGCGGAGUGUGAAGUGCAGACGGAGCAGCGACAUCAGCAGCCAUCUGACACAAUGAUUAAUCAUCUGCAACAGAAAAAGCGAAAGCAACAAAACUAACACAAAAUCAAUGGAAAUCGAAGACAUCUUCGGAUCACACACAAUUUUUCGUUGGGGGGUAAACGCAUUAAACGAUGAACAACCAAGUAAAAAGUGCAGAAAUUAAAGAGGAAAACAUAAACAAACAAAAUUCAAAACUUACCUGUAAGCUAAUGCCGGACGGAUAACGGAGGAGGGCGACUUUUCUAAUUAAGUAAACUUUAAGCGACGAAAACAAAAAGAAAACCAAUAUCAAAUAUGAAUGGAAACGCACGCAAAUCGUGCGAAAUCUAAUAUAUAAUUAAUAUAUAUUAUAUGCAUAGUGAAACCAAUAUAAGGGCGGGCAAAAUUAAGCGAAUUAAUUAUGAAUUACGAGUAUAUAGAGCAAAGGCAGGAGGAGAGCGAGAAAUAAUACCUAUAACAAUGCCACACCACACAACAGAGGCGCAUAUAAGCGACUGCAUGGACGAUGGACAGUUUGUUCUGUGGAUGGUGACAGAGACAGACGCAAACGCAUAUUGAAUACACAUUUAUGAAUAACGAGUAUAUGUUAGCUGAAUAAUGGAAGCGAUUUGGAUAUAUAACAAUUAUACACCCACACUUGAAAGAACCCCAAAUUUAAUGUUCACUUCCGCCAUCAAUUCACACCACGGAAAAAAGAACAAAAAAUAAUCCGUUGGGAAUAAUUAUAAUUGCGAAUUGUACGGCACAUAACAAGCGGAAAUCGAUGCAUAAAUAAAUGUUUUUAAGUUAUACAUAAGCAAAACUAUGUAAUUAUUAGUGUAAUUCCUAAAACAAAAACAAAAAACAAUACAAAAGGAAAAUGCAAAACAAAAAAAGAACUUAAAGAGAAAAACGAAAAUUACUAAAUGAAGCAAAACAAAAACAGAAUACGAACACUCUCUGAACCUUCCUGACAACUAAAGAAACUAAAAAGUAACGAAAUUCAGAGAACUAUUUCUACUUUUUUCUAGAAAACACACAAAAACUUGAAUAUUUAUUGAAAUUGAGAAUGAAAAUGAAAAACGAAAUCGAAAUCGAAAAGUAUAAAGGGACAUAAUACGUCUAGAAAGCGAUUGUACAUUAAUUUAGAAUUUCAUAUGGGUUUAAGAGUUAUUCGGCCAGUCCUCCUACGCUCGACUCCACUGCUUCUUCCAUGGCUAAGAAUCAAAAUCGGAUUACGCAUUGAUUUUAGUGCAUUUAUUUAGUUUUUACGUUCGCUGUCGAUGACAAUUGUUUAGUUUUGCAAGCAAAAUACAAGUGUGCGAAGUACGAAACACAACACAAUCCAAUCCAAUCCAAUACCCCAUGCAAUAGUAAAAAUUAAUUGUUAAGUUUACAAUUGAAUUGAAACGCAAUCCAGCAGGAAAUGUUAAUGACUCAGCCCUCAAAUUAGCUGCAAUACUUGUUUAAUUGUUAGUCAACCCAUAUUCUCUCCAGCUCUCAUGCCAUAUUUUCAUUGCGAAAAGAAGUUAUAAGAACGAAAAAAUACUAAUACAUAAUACAUCUAUAAACAAGUAUAUAUAAUUAGCAACAUAAAUCAAUUGUGUGUGUAAUUGUGUGUAAUGCAUAAAUAAUUAAUUAAACAUAUACAUACAUACUACUACGGCGACAACAGAGCGUGCACCAAAGGGGGAAGGAAGCUCUCGAAGAACAUCAUCAUCAUGGGUACAUACAUAUAUACAUAUGUAUUUACUCGUACUUCCCCCAAACCUAAACCUAAACCCAACUGAAACUCACACAAAAAAAAAAGAGAACAACAGCCACAGACACAGCCACAGCAGCAACAGCGACAACAAGAACUAAACAUUAUUCUGAAUACAACUUUUUCUACACUGUAAAAAACGCAACUGCAACUCUUUUGAUAUGUACGAGUACUAUGUUUUGUCCUACUCUCGACCCAUAGUACCUUUUUGUCAAAUUUUACAUCAAGUUAUUUUGCUACUUUGUAAGCGUUUAGUUUGUUAGUUUUUUUAAAUGCGCUGAAUGUACUGAGAAAUUGGUUUUGAUUUGCUAAAUAAACUGGUAUAAAACUAAUUUAAACAAAACAGAAUAUACUCUACUCUUUAUGUUUUAAGGCAAAUAAUAUACCACUAAUACAUACUCUAUUCUCUUCUUAACCAAAUAAAUUACGUAGCGAAGAUGAGAUAAUCUUGCAAAAAAUGUAGAUACCCCAUGACAACUCGACCCACAUACAUAUGUAUAUCCAAAUAUAUUUUCCUUGAGCUGCUUGAAAUCCAAUCAAUUGGAUAUCAUAGUAAGCGCUCAGAAAUACGUGCAGGAAUAUGGAUUAGAAUUCAUCAUUCAACAGAUUACAGCCCACUAGUCAGUCAACAAAAAAUUCAGAUCUAAAAAUUUACAAAAUUUAUAAAUUCCAAACAGGAAACUAAAUUUUUAAGUUAAUUUUUUGUAUAUUUUUUUUUUUGCCAAAGAAUCUUUUUCUCUAUUUUUCAAAUUCAAAUUUUCAAGUUAAAAUGUGUUUGUGUUGCGAUUGCGCGUCAUUCGAUUGUUGGCCCGAUAAAACGUGGUGUAUAUUCUUUGGAAUAUGGAACUCAAUCAUUGGCUUCAUCGGUAUGGUGUCAACAAGUAUGAUGUUGGACAAAGAAUUGUCCAAGCCAGUAUCGAAAGUGGACUUCGGUGAUCUUGGUGAACUUGGUUCCGCAGUGAGAGAAAAAUAUGGCCAGGAAUUUAGAAGCGAAACGACAGUUUGUGUCUAUGUUGUAAUACUUAUAUGUGUUAUAGUACACUUGUUGUCUGGGAUAUUCAUACUUUUGGGAUUGUUCUUGAACAUCAAAAUUUUGUUUUCAUUCGGGAAAGGCAUGAGCCAUGUUUUGCCAUGGGUUUGUAUUGGCUCGAUUAUUUUACCAAUUGUGCAACUCAUAUGCUUAUACAGGGUGUGCAGGUACUACAAAGAGAUGUGAUGGCAAAAUAUUAAAAAUUUCCCAACGCCCCAAUCCCGACAAAAAAAGUUAGAAUCGUUCAAACGUUUGGCUAUAUUCUGGUUACCUAUCUCCAUCGCCCUUAGAAAAAAGGCUUGCCGAUGUAUGACAAAAUUGCAGUAUUCAAAAAUUUCGCAGUAUAAAAUGUAGAUCAAAUAAAUUUUAAACUUAAUUGCGCCAA